Molecule: non-coding RNA, 23 nt
Filed under: Arabidopsis thaliana (thale cress)
Lineage: Eukaryota; Viridiplantae; Streptophyta; Magnoliopsida; Brassicales; Brassicaceae
Source: RNAcentral
GGAUGGGAUAGAGUAGUUGUGGA